Molecule: long non-coding RNA, 1059 nt
Organism: Pogoniulus pusillus (Red-fronted tinkerbird)
Lineage: Eukaryota; Metazoa; Chordata; Aves; Piciformes; Lybiidae
Exons: 6
Source: RefSeq, a predicted model, not a curated record
CCCCUGCUCUAAUAAGAUGGUUAAUGCAAAACAGGUGGGCAUCCAGUCUGGGUGAAAGAUUGGGCUGGUGUUUUUCAGUACAGGGUCUGACUUCCUGACUUAGAGAUCUACUUGCAUAUUGGACUUCACAGAGGCAACAUCAGAGCAGAGCUUUUGGGGUCAUCUUCAGAGAUUGACCUGCUUGACCUGCAGUAGAUCUUUUAUGCAGAGACCUAGAAAAGAGUUUAUCAGCAUAACAUCCAUCUACUUGUUCUGGUUACCAGUGAUUUGUGAGUCUUCAGAAUGAAGUAGCCCAAAGAUCAGUUGGAGUAUUCACACCCUAAAAAACUAGGUGAUUUCCACUUCAUGAAUGUGGCAGGCAAGUUGAUCUGGUUUCAGCCUCUUAUACCAGGCAGAGCUGCUAGCUGAGGAGCAAGUGGUUUAAGAAACCCCAGAAAUCUGUCUUUUGGAAAAAAUGAAACUAUUUUAAGACCUCAGAGUUCCUACAGAGCUCAGUAUCCUUCUGGAAGGAACACCUUAACCUCAGGAAAAAAAACACCACCAGUUCUUCAGGAAGACACAGAAGCUAGAAGCAGUCACCACCUUCUUCCGAACAGCGCCUGUGGAGCUGCUGCUGAAUUGUCUUCCAGACAUGCCAGCCUGCUGGAUUCCACUGCACCUUUAGGGGGCUAAACAUCUCCUUAUGAAAGAUAAGCAGGGGGAAAAGAGAUCAUCCUGAGAAAAGUACAAAAGUGGACUCCACUGCGCACAUCUGCUGUGUGACCGCAUUAAAAUAUCUCCAGCUGUACUUUACUUCCUGGAGUCUUCCCUGAAUAUACCUGAAGGAUGAAUACUACCACAUCUAGAUGCAGAAGGACAUCAGACCCCACGUGGUACUCACAUGGUUGUCGCAUGUAAGGUCUUUGCCAGCUGGAACUGGAGAGACAACUGGGAGAGGUGUAAAAGCACCAUGAGAAAGAGGAAAAGGAGAAAAAAAAUCUCCACUUCCCAAUCUUCUUUGCCUGAUCUUGGUUGUGAUUUUCUAGCAUCUCAUAGAUAUUAAAGCUGUUGAUCCUUUCA